Molecule: long non-coding RNA, 2785 nt
Organism: Neopsephotus bourkii (Bourke's parrot)
Lineage: Eukaryota; Metazoa; Chordata; Aves; Psittaciformes; Psittacidae
Exons: 4
Source: RefSeq, a predicted model, not a curated record
UCAAAUUACAGUAUCAGCAUUUUCUUUAAUGCCUGUGUUGCCAACCUCCUGCUGUCAGUGUUAGAGCAGGUUUGAUAGUUAACACACACCACUGGAAGCUGGUGUUCCUGUGCUCGGCAUGAAUUUCCUCUGGGAGCUUGGACAUGUCUCCUAAUGACGGCCCCUGUUGUCCUGCCUGUAAAAGGAGUAGUGCUGCAGACAAGCAGAAAUUCAUUCAUAUUCUGUGAACUACUUAAGAGAUCCUCAAGAAAAAGAGUUCAUGCAAAUAGAUAUGCAUAUAAUCAGAUGCUCUUUCAGCUGAAAUGAUCCUAAAAAUGAGAAAUAAUAAAUCCUUGUGGCAAAUUUACAAGUAAUUAUGGAAACUGGUAACUGAGCAAAAUGGUGGAGCGAAAUAUGCCCAGUACAGUUGAGGUGGGCACAGGAUUUUGCUGCUUUUGGAAAUGCAAGGUACCUGGACCAAAAGGGGUGGGAUAAGAUGGGUCCCUGCAUAGUGGGGUUGUUGGUAAGGAUGCAGGAAGGCAUCUGAGCCCCUUAAGUAUUCCUUCCCGGUAUUUACUGAGGAGCUGCGAUGUGUUCCUGUCAGAUGAUCCUCAUUCCAUUCUAACAAUAACUCGAGAGGAUGUUCAACAGUGACUGCUAAAAUUAGAUGCCUGGAAAUCAGGGCUGAGUAAUUGUUGUGGAAGAGCUGGUAUGGGGAUUCUGCAUCCAGGAGACAGGGAGAGGCUUUGAAACAAAGAUCCGCUGCGCUGGGAGAAAGGUGGUGCAGAAGCAUGCUUCCAGAGCGAAGCAAAGGUGCUCCAGGUCUCCCUGCCUACCUUCAUUUCAAGGCAAAGCUAUAAAAUGGCUGACCCUGGGAUUCACUCGAAAUCACAAAGUUGUAGAAUGAUGCUGGUUGGAAGAAACCCCUGGAGGUCCAAGACAUAGGUCUUGCUCAAAGGUCAGUCAAGUUCAUGUAACUGUAGCAUCGUCAGCAUGAGCUCGGGAGUGAAAUCCAUGCUGGAAUGCCAACAACUUCAGCAUGUCCUGCAGGGUGGGAGGUGACCCGUAGCCUCCUGUGCUUGCCUUCAGUCCCGUUUCCUUCUCUGCACAGGCUGGGACUGGUUGUCACUUGUGGCUGUUUUCACUGGGGUAUGGAGAACAAAAUCUGCGAUGCACUUACUUAAACACGAUCUAUGGUUUGUGGUGGUUCUCAGUUUGCCUGCAGCGUGGUCGUUUCUGUCACAGCACAUCCAGUGCUGGCUCCUGCAGCUCCACAUGAGCUGGGACCAGUUCAGCAAAGAGCUUCUGGUCUCCUCAUGUGCAGUGGCCGUCACCCCAUGACCAGACCCCCGGAGUCGGCCUUCUUGCAUGGAGAAGCCUCUCCACGUUUCGCUGCUGCUCCCAGUGCUGGGGUCAGGAUGCACGGAGCCGACACCGGGAGCAGCUGUCCCAGUUUGUGGAAACUCUCUUGCCUUUUUAAGGCCAUGCCGAGUGCUGUGCUCUAACUUUAGCACAAAGGUUACCCUAAAGGAGCACGUACUGCUGAACAUAGCGCUCUGAGUGACUGCAGGAGCUGGGAUUAAGUGCUGGUUCCUCACGCUGUGCUUUCCUGCACCCGCUGGAUGGUGAUAAGCUGCUCUAAAAGGCUUGCUGGGUGCAUGAGCUCGCCCAGUCCCACAGUUGUAAUUUGGAGCAGAGCAAUUAAGGUUUUGGCUUACAACAAAGCUGGCACCUCUCUCUUCCCCCAGUGUUCUCUGUAGAUUUGCAUCCCCUACCACGUGCAGCAUCUCUCACAAUGGUGUGGCUGUCCUGCAAGCCAGCUCCUGCGGGCGCACUGAUAAAUCAUCUCGCUUUGGACAUGGUAGAGCUCUCCUUGCCCUGCUUGCCCAAUGCCCCCAGCUGGCACUGCUGUUUGGCCAAUGCUCAGACCUAGGAGCUCAUAUGCUUGCAUGUCAGUGCUUGUUUCUGGGGCAGUCUUGUAUGCAGUGCCUGAAACGUUAGCACCAGCAUGUGCAAUGUGCUUUGGGGGAAGCAUCCAUAGCUUUGUUCUCAGGCUGGAAAUCCCUCUCUCCAAAGGGAGCCAGCAGCUCCCCUGCUUUGUUUCCUUGGGAGAGCUAUUUUCUCCUCCAUGCUUGAAGAAACAUCACUGGCUGCUGCUGCCACCACACCACAGCCAGCUCAGCACAAGCUGGAGGCCAGAGGUGGCCAGAGGGUGGCCAAGUUGGGGCAAUGCCUGGGGUCUUUGUGGUGAUCCUGGUGUUGCGGUUUGUACAGAUCUCCUCCAGAUACAUUCCUCUAAGCUCUCAGGUUAGGAAACUCCCUCAGGAAUGCUACGAGCUUCAUUACAGCUUCUGCUAAAUCACUGGCCAACAUCACCGAAAUGUAUCUUGAAAACUUUGGACCUGGUGGCUUAGGGAUGCUGUUUGUGGAGCUACUGGGGUGAUCCCACAGGGAAAAUGCUGCUGGUGCAGCACAAAGGAGCACCUCCAACCACAGAGUGGAAAAGGCCUCACCAAAACCCUGGUGAGAAGAAAGCAGGGAAGAAAAGGGAAGAGUAAGAUCAGCAAAGGCUGGCACAGAGUCCUGACUGUUCAUGGUGGAGAGCUCGCCCUGGGAAAGGCUGCAUAGUGCUGGGUGUAUGGAUCAUGGUAAGUGAAAGGCAUGUGGACCUGCAGCUGGCAGGUGCUCCCCUCUACUGCACAUGUUUGACAGCUGGUCCGUGCCUCCUUCCUGUGUGGAUGUGAGGACAACUGGAAGGAUGUAGGGAAGAGAUCGGUUGCUGCCAGAGCAGCUUGUGGUGCCCCCA